AUUGACGCGUAUGGUUUGAACGACUCCGCCAACUCGUCUAUCGACAAAGGACUACAAAAGUCGGCUCAGAAAGACAAGGUGAGGUCUAUAAUGAGAAAAGAAAUGGAGAAAGCUGGUGUGAAGGAUCCUCAAAUACUGGAUAAGUCGUAUUGGAUUCAGAGAGUCGGUGAGCUCUCAAUCCAACUACAGCAAAGCAGUGAGUAUUGGGCACAAAAAGUGCGAGAUUUAACAACACAGAUGGAAAAUCAAGAAACAUGACAACUACUCCACUGCAUUUACUCCGAAACGGCCCUAAAAUCCCUGGAAAAAAGUUCACAUGUGCUACUUAAAUUUCUUCUUCAGUUCAGCUAUACUGUAGCUUUCCUCCACUUUGGGCUCUAAACCAGUAGAGGGAGAAAAUUAUAUUCUUUAGUUAGAAAAAUUGUUGACAAUUCUAGUGCUAAAUUCAUUAUAAUCUUUUCAUCACUAAAUAGUGAUCAGGCGGUAUAAAAUUCCAAUAUUUCCUUUUUGCAUCUUAUGGUCUGAAAAAAUACCUUUUGAUCUCUAGAAAUCUAGGGAACUCAAUCUUUGUUUUUCAUAAUUAUUUUUUCUGAAAGAAUAUUUUGGUCUUUUAGUGGCCUCGUUUUUAAUUUCAAUUUUUAUCAAAUGAUAAUAAUAUAUUUCAUUUAUAACCAUUGAGUGAAUUUGCAAAUAUCUCUUUUGAAGGGAAUUGUAAUCUGUAAAUGCUGUUACGUGCGCGAGCGUGAGAAAAGUAUAUUUUAUUAUUUUACUUUAUAAUUUUGAGAACUUUGUUUUAUUUAUUGAUAGAAUCAUCUCAUCUUAUGUACGUAAAGAAGUGUAAAGUUUGCCAAUAAAGAUGUUA
Molecule: non-coding RNA, 862 nt
Organism: Pocillopora verrucosa
Lineage: Eukaryota; Metazoa; Cnidaria; Anthozoa; Scleractinia; Pocilloporidae
Source: RefSeq, a predicted model, not a curated record